AGCUUAGUUGGUAAAGAAUCUGCCUGUAAUGCAGGAGACCUGGGUUCGAUUCCUGG
RNAcentral lists this transfer RNA (56 nucleotides) under Ovis aries (sheep). It matches the Rfam family "tRNA", at positions 9 to 63 of the family's 71-position model. Rfam says of the family: Transfer RNA (tRNA) molecules are approximately 80 nucleotides in length. Their secondary structure includes four short double-helical elements and three loops (D, anti-codon, and T loops). Lineage: Eukaryota; Metazoa; Chordata; Mammalia; Artiodactyla; Bovidae. The record is from Rfam by way of RNAcentral.